RNAcentral lists this long non-coding RNA (1930 nucleotides) under Xyrichtys novacula (pearly razorfish). Lineage: Eukaryota; Metazoa; Chordata; Actinopteri; Labriformes; Labridae. The record is from RNAcentral.
UUGGAGCUAGGGUUAGGGUUAGGGUUAGGGUUGGAGUUAGGGUUAGUGUUGGAGCUAGGGUUAGGGUUGGGCUUGGAGCUAGGAUUUUUCUGAGUGCACUGAACCAACUCCCGAGUCUCUAGGACAUUCCUAAAAAAAUUUGAUUUUUUCCCAUAGGAAUGCAUGGGUUAGGGUUAUGGUUAGGGUUAGGGUUGGAGCUAGGGUUAGGGUUAGGGUUAGGGUUGGAGUUAGGGUUAGUGUUGGAGCUAGGGUUAGGGUUGGGCUUGGAGCUAGGAUUUUUCUGAGUGCACUGAACCAACUCCCGAGUCUCUAGGACAUUCCUAAAAAAAUUUGAUUUUUUCCCAUAGGAAUGCAUGGGUUAGGGUUAGGGUUAGGGUUGGAGCUAGGGUUAGGGUCAGGGUUAGGGUUGGAGUUAGGGUUAGUGUUGGAGCUAGGGUUAGGGUUGGGCUUGGAGCUAGGAUUUUUCUGAGUGCAAUGAACCAACUCCCGAGUCUCUAGGAUGUUCCUAAAAAAAUGUGAUUUUUUCCCAUAGGAAUGCAUGGGUUAGGGUUAGGGUUAGGGUUGGAGCUAGGGUUAGGGUUAGGGUUAGGGUUGGAGUUAGGGUUAGUGUUGGAGCUAGGGUUAGGGUUGGGCUUGGAGCUAGGGUUAGGGUUAGGGUUAGGGUUGGAGUUAGGGUUAGUGUUGGAGCUAGGGUUAGGGUUGGGCUUGGAGCUAGGAUUUUUCUGAGUGCACUGAACCAACUCCCGAGUCUCUAGGACAUUCCUAAAAAAAAUUGAUUUUUUCCCAUAGGAAUGCAUGGGUUAGGGUUAGGGUUAGGGUUAGGGUUGGAGCUAGGGUUAGGGUUAGGGUUAGGGUUGGAGUUAGGGUUAGUGUUGGAGCUAGGGUUAGGGUUGGGCUUGGAGCUAGGAUUUUUCUGAGUGCACUGAACCAACUCCCGAGUCUCUAGGACAUUCCUAAAAAAAUUUGAUUUUUUCCCAUAGGAAUGCAUAGGUUAGGGUUAGGGUUAGGGUUGGAGCUAGGGUUAGGGUUAGGGUUAGGGUUGGAGUUAGGGUUAGUGUUGGAGCUAGGGUUAGGGUUGGGCUUGGAGCUAGGAUUUUUCUGAGUGCACUGAACCAACUCCCGAGUCUCUAGGACAUUCCUAAAAAAAUUUGAUUUUUUCCCAUAGGAAUGCAUGGGUUAGGGUUAUGGUUAGGGUUAGGGUUGGAGCUAGGGUUAGGGUUAGGGUUAGGGUUGGAGUUAGGGUUAGUGUUGGAGCUAGGGUUAGGGUUGGGCUUGGAGCUAGGAUUUUUCUGAGUGCACUGAACCAACUCCCGAGUCUCUAGGACAUUCCUAAAAAAAAUUGAUUUUUUCCCAUAGGAAUGCAUGGGUUAGGGUUAGGGUUAGGGUUAGGGUUGGAGCUAGGGUUAGGGUUAGGGUUAGGGUUGGAGUUAGGGUUAGUGUUGGAGCUAGGGUUAGGGUUGGGCUUGGAGCUAGGAUUUUUCUGAGUGCACUGAACCAACUCCCGAGUCUCUAGGACAUUCCUAAAAAAAUUUGAUUUUUUCCCAUAGGAAUGCAUAGGUUAGGGUUAGGGUUGGAGCUAGGGUUAGGGUUAGGGUUAGGGUUGGAGUUAGGGUUAGUGUUGGAGCUAGGGUUAGGGUUGGGCUUGGAGCUAGGAUUUUUCUGAGUGCACUGAACCAACUUCCGAGUCUCUAGGACGUUCCUAAAAAAAAUUGAUUUUUUCCCAUAGGAAUGCAUGGGUUCGGGUUAUGGUUAGGGUUAGGGUUGGAGCUAGGGUUAGGGUUAGGGUUAGGGUUGGAGUUAGGGUUAGUGUUGGAGCUAGGGUUAGGGUUGGGCUUGGAGCUAGGAUUUUUCUGAGUGCAAUGAACCAACUCCCAAGUCUCUUGGACGUUCCUAAAAAAAAUUGAUUUUUUCCCAUAGGAAUGCAUGGGUU